RNAcentral lists this ribosomal RNA (1675 nucleotides) under Escherichia coli. Its description in RNAcentral is "bacterial LSU rRNA". Lineage: Bacteria; Pseudomonadati; Pseudomonadota; Gammaproteobacteria; Enterobacterales; Enterobacteriaceae. The record is from RNAcentral.
AUGCUGGAGGUAUCAGAAGUGCGAAUGCUGACAUAAGUAACGAUAAAGCGGGUGAAAAGCCCGCUCGCCGGAAGACCAAGGGUUCCUGUCCAACGUUAAUCGGGGCAGGGUGAGUCGACCCCUAAGGCGAGGCCGAAAGGCGUAGUCGAUGGGAAACAGGUUAAUAUUCCUGUACUUGGUGUUACUGCGAAGGGGGGACGGAGAAGGCUAUGUUGGCCGGGCGACGGUUGUCCCGGUUUAAGCGUGUAGGCUGGUUUUCCAGGCAAAUCCGGAAAAUCAAGGCUGAGGCGUGAUGACGAGGCACUACGGUGCUGAAGCAACAAAUGCCCUGCUUCCAGGAAAAGCCUCUAAGCAUCAGGUAACAUCAAAUCGUACCCCAAACCGACACAGGUGGUCAGGUAGAGAAUACCAAGGCGCUUGAGAGAACUCGGGUGAAGGAACUAGGCAAAAUGGUGCCGUAACUUCGGGAGAAGGCACGCUGAUAUGUAGGUGAAGUCCCUCGCGGAUGGAGCUGAAAUCAGUCGAAGAUACCAGCUGGCUGCAACUGUUUAUUAAAAACACAGCACUGUGCAAACACGAAAGUGGACGUAUACGGUGUGACGCCUGCCCGGUGCCGGAAGGUUAAUUGAUGGGGUCAGCGCAAGCGAAGCUCUUGAUCGAAGCCCCGGUAAACGGCGGCCGUAACUAUAACGGUCCUAAGGUAGCGAAAUUCCUUGUCGGGUAAGUUCCGACCUGCACGAAUGGCGUAAUGAUGGCCAGGCUGUCUCCACCCGAGACUCAGUGAAAUUGAACUCGCUGUGAAGAUGCAGUGUACCCGCGGCAAGACGGAAAGACCCCGUGAACCUUUACUAUAGCUUGACACUGAACAUUGAGCCUUGAUGUGUAGGAUAGGUGGGAGGCUUUGAAGUGUGGACGCCAGUCUGCAUGGAGCCGACCUUGAAAUACCACCCUUUAAUGUUUGAUGUUCUAACGUUGACCCGUAAUCCGGGUUGCGGACAGUGUCUGGUGGGUAGUUUGACUGGGGCGGUCUCCUCCUAAAGAGUAACGGAGGAGCACGAAGGUUGGCUAAUCCUGGUCGGACAUCAGGAGGUUAGUGCAAUGGCAUAAGCCAGCUUGACUGCGAGCGUGACGGCGCGAGCAGGUGCGAAAGCAGGUCAUAGUGAUCCGGUGGUUCUGAAUGGAAGGGCCAUCGCUCAACGGAUAAAAGGUACUCCGGGGAUAACAGGCUGAUACCGCCCAAGAGUUCAUAUCGACGGCGGUGUUUGGCACCUCGAUGUCGGCUCAUCACAUCCUGGGGCUGAAGUAGGUCCCAAGGGUAUGGCUGUUCGCCAUUUAAAGUGGUACGCGAGCUGGGUUUAGAACGUCGUGAGACAGUUCGGUCCCUAUCUGCCGUGGGCGCUGGAGAACUGAGGGGGGCUGCUCCUAGUACGAGAGGACCGGAGUGGACGCAUCACUGGUGUUCGGGUUGUCAUGCCAAUGGCACUGCCCGGUAGCUAAAUGCGGAAGAGAUAAGUGCUGAAAGCAUCUAAGCACGAAACUUGCCCCGAGAUGAGUUCUCCCUGACYCYUURAGRGUCCUGAAGGAACGUUGAAGACGACGACGUUGAUAGGCCGGRUGUGUAAGCGCAGCGAUGCGUUGAGCUAACCGGUACUAAUGAACCGUGAGGCUUAACCUU